RNAcentral lists this non-coding RNA (81 nucleotides) under Bradyrhizobium vignae. The record is from RNAcentral. Lineage: Bacteria; Pseudomonadati; Pseudomonadota; Alphaproteobacteria; Hyphomicrobiales; Nitrobacteraceae.
CUGAGAUCUCCGCAAGGCGAUCUGACCUCAGCGUAGAAGUCAGCGGAGGGCAUAGUAGGCGGCGGCGCGCUGCCGAAGGCC